RNAcentral lists this ribosomal RNA (497 nucleotides) under uncultured bacterium. RNAcentral describes it as "partial 16S ribosomal RNA". It matches the Rfam family "Bacterial small subunit ribosomal RNA", at positions 28 to 507 of the family's 1533-position model. The record is from RNAcentral.
GAUGAACGCUGGCGGCGUGCCUAAUACAUGCAAGUCGAGCGAACAGACGAGGAGCUUGCUCCUCUGACGUUAGCGGCGGACGGGUGAGUAACACGUGGAUAACCUACCUAUAAGACUGGGAUAACUUCGGGAAACCGGAGCUAAUACCGGAUAAUAUAUUGAACCGCAUGGUUCAAUAGUGAAAGACGGUUUUGCUGUCACUUAUAGAUGGAUCCGCGCCGCAUUAGCUAGUUGGUAAGGUAACGGCUUACCAAGGCAACGAUGCGUAGCCGACCUGAGAGAGUGGUCGGCAACACUGGAACUGAGACACGGUCCAGACUCCUACGGGAGGCAGCAGUAGGGAAUCUUCAGCAAUGAGCGAAAGCUUGACGGAGCAACGCCGCGUGAGUGAUGAAGGUCUUCGGAUCGUAAAACUCUGUUAUUAGGGAAGAACAAAUGUGUAAGUAACUAUGCACGUCUUGACGGUACCUAAUCAGAAAGCCACGGCUAACUACGUG